GACGAACGCUGGCGGCGUGCUUAACACAUGCAAGUCGAGCGAAGAGCGACGGAAGCUUGCUUCUAUCAAUCUUAGUGGCGAACGGGUGAGUAACGCGUAAUCAACCUGCCCUUCAGAGGGGGACAACAGUUGGAAACGACUGCUAAUACCGCAUACGAUCUAACCUCGGCAUCGAGGAUAGAUGAAAGGUGGCCUCUACAUGUAAGCUAUCACUGAAGGAGGGGAUUGCGUCUGAUUAGCUAGUUGGAGGGGUAACGGCCCACCAAGGCGAUGAUCAGUAGCCGGUCUGAGAGGAUGAACGGCCACAUUGGGACUGAGACACGGCCCAGACUCCUACGGGAGGCAGCAGUGGGGAAUCUUCCGCAAUGGACGAAAGUCUGACGGAGCAACGCCGCGUGAGUGAUGACGGCCUUCGGGUUGUAAAGCUCUGUUAAUCGGGACGAAAGGCCUUCUUGCGAAUAGUGAGAAGGAUUGACGGUACCGGAAUAGAAAGCCACGGCUAACUACGUG
Molecule: ribosomal RNA, 510 nt
Filed under: uncultured bacterium
Lineage: Bacteria
Description: partial 16S ribosomal RNA
Rfam family: Bacterial small subunit ribosomal RNA
Source: RNAcentral